Molecule: ribosomal RNA, 253 nt
Filed under: uncultured bacterium
Lineage: Bacteria
Description: partial 16S ribosomal RNA
Rfam family: Bacterial small subunit ribosomal RNA
Source: RNAcentral
UACGUAGGGGGCAAGCGUUGUCCGGAAUCAUUGGGCGUAAAGCGCGUGUAGGCGGUUCGGUAAGUCUGCUGUGAAAGUCCAGGGCUCAAUCCUGGGAUGCCGGUGGAUACUGUCGGACUAGAGUACGGAAGAGGCGAGUGGAAUUCCCGGUGUAGCGGUGAAAUGCGCAGAUAUCGGGAGGAACACCAAUUGCGAAGGCAGCUCGCUGGGACGUUACUGACGCUGAGACGCGAAAGCGUGGGGAGCAAACAGG